UGGGAAUUCUAGAAGGCUUACAGUCUCUUGAUAAAAACAAAAUACAUCUUAGCUCAUCAAACAGACUUUUCUCUAAAACCUGGGAUGGGAGUCAAAGGACCCACAUAGGCUUUACAGAUGUCGUUGAAGGUGAAACUAGGAAGUGCUUAACUCAGAGGAGAGUCUAUAGACCAUGAUCUCUGCGGGGAGAAGGGGCUACAUUUGAGUACAACUCAGGAUGAUGGCAGAUGGAUUGGAACACACAGGGUAAAGAAAAGGGAAGAAGCGAGCUGAAUGCAGAAAAGAAAUGUCAUAGAAGAUGCAGAGCCACAUGAGCAAAGGAGCCUGGGUCCCUGAAUAAUUGGACAGUCUCCACCAUGACCCACAUUGGCUGUAACGGGAGUGAAAAUUAAAACUUCAUUGACUUCACCACUGA
RNAcentral lists this long non-coding RNA (415 nucleotides) under Equus caballus (horse). RNAcentral's name for it is "lncRNA (ENSECAG00000055898.1)". The record is from RNAcentral. Lineage: Eukaryota; Metazoa; Chordata; Mammalia; Perissodactyla; Equidae.